GGCCCGAUGGUCAAGAGGUCAAGACAUCGCCCUUUCAAGGCGAAGACACGGGUUCAAUUCCCGUUCGGGUCACCA
Molecule: transfer RNA, 75 nt
Filed under: Bacillota bacterium
Lineage: Bacteria; Bacillati; Bacillota
Also listed under: 2 other names
Description: tRNA-Glu
Rfam family: tRNA
About the family: Transfer RNA (tRNA) molecules are approximately 80 nucleotides in length. Their secondary structure includes four short double-helical elements and three loops (D, anti-codon, and T loops).
Source: RNAcentral